GCACUCAUUUCUCAGAGUUAUGAUGUCCUUGGCCUGGCCUGCUUUUACUCUGCUUGUUUAGAUCUGCUGCUCUAUGGAAAAGGAUUGCUGUGUCGGCCCUUUAGUGAGUGUCUGCGUUUCAUUCAAGUCUACGAGCACAGCCAUGUUCUAACCUCUCAGAGCAAUGUCAUGCUGGGGGUCCACUCCUCCCUGGCCAUGUGGUUUGCCCAGGAAUCACAGUGGGACCUGUUUGAGCACUAUUUCUCCAAGGCUUGCCAGUUGGUGAAAAGAACCAAUGCCUCGCUAUUUGGUGCACAUGGCUUUGUCCGAUUCCUAGAAUGCCAUAUGUUAAUGUUACAGAAAAUGCCAGAGGGUAUCUUCAUGCAUAUUCCUCUAGAGCUUCGCAGCCAAACCCUUGAGUACUUUAAGGAGUUCUUCUCUCAAUGUGUGACCUGCCCUGUCUAUCACCAGUGGGUAUCUGAGCUUAAGGCCUCUGUAAUGAGAUGUGAAAAGAGAGAAUUCAUGUCCCUGACUAACAGCAUCAGACCUUUUGACACCUGCUUGACCAGGAUUUGGAUAAAAGGAGAAUUUCUGCAGGAAAAUAACUCUUAGAAAAGAAACUUAGGAAUACAGAGAUUUGACAGAGUGGCUGAUGUCAAGGAGAACAAGGAUGCAGAAGAAACUCAGGAUGUAUGUAUUAAAACAAAAGAAAAAUAACCUGAAGGGACCAUGAUUCUGUUAUUGUAUAUAACACAAGGAAAUGCCCCAGAUUCUCCUUUUAAAGAUAUAAUGUACAUAUUAAGUAUACUAGCCUUUAUAGUUACUGCUAUCUACAUGUUUAUCAAAAUAAAAGACUAUUUUUUUCUAAAACAUGCCACUUAGAUUUUUUUUAACUCUUAAAAGUCGUUAGCACAACUUUACCAGAAGUUACAACCAGGAGUAGACGGGAGGCCUGGAAGGCUUUAAGAUGAACUGAUUCCAUCUUUUAUAAG
Molecule: long non-coding RNA, 971 nt
Filed under: Gorilla gorilla gorilla (western lowland gorilla)
Lineage: Eukaryota; Metazoa; Chordata; Mammalia; Primates; Hominidae
Description: lncRNA (ENSGGOG00000044250.1)
Source: RNAcentral